Molecule: long non-coding RNA, 2986 nt
Organism: Athalia rosae (coleseed sawfly)
Lineage: Eukaryota; Metazoa; Arthropoda; Insecta; Hymenoptera; Athaliidae
Exons: 2
Source: RefSeq, a predicted model, not a curated record
CUUCGUCUUCUUAUUUUGAAUUCAUCUUUUUAUUAUACCGCGUAACAGAUUUCGUAUCAUCAUCGCCCGCGCAUGAAUGGGGCGUAAUUCUUUACCUCUGAUUCACUCUCGCUCCCUACAGGAUGAUUUGUUGGUUCUUCGUUGAUUUUUUUUUUCCACGUAUCGUUUGACACUGGGUUCGAGCCGAUUCGUUGUUCCAGGAACCGCGUGAUGCUGCAGAAUUGCAGGGAGGAUGCAUCGUGUGUACGUAUAAAAUGUAAAUAAAGGGGGCGAAGGGACGACGCGUUGGAACACAAGUCUGGAAAAGUACGUCACCACGUUCGGAUCCCCCUGAUGACCUUCGGAAGACCUACGUCACUACGAAGUAGGGACUACGCGACGUGUGUCACAUGGGGGACAACGCGUAUUAUAUGCGGGAUUCCUUCGUAAACACGUGAUACCCGUGCGGAAUGUGGAGGGUGAGCAUUUUUCGGGAAUAAUGAUGACGUAUCGGUGAAAAAGAAAGUGAAAAACCGAAGAAUAACAUAAGAGGCAUAAAUCGUAAACGGUAUCUAGUUUUCAGGUUUUAUAUUUCGAGUCCAAAUUUCGAUUACUAACGAUGCGAGAUGCCGUUAAUUAUUGCUGAUGUUAUAUACACGUAUAUUUGUUUUUUAUCGAUUUAUCUUUCCCAUAAUCUUGACCCGGAUCACAAUCCGGUUCAUGGUCGAGUCAUGUUGGAAAUUUCAUAUGUGCAUUCUUGGAAGAAUUCAAAUUAUGAUCAUCUGCGUUCAGCGAUAUGUGGGCCUAUUUUCUCGAGGGCUCUGCUUCGAAACAAUCAAACUUUCAUUAUUGAAUUAGCCAGCGAUGCCUGUAAAGGUGUCAAUUCAAUUGACUCGCUAUCGAAGUUGAUUCGUAGGCCAUCCGACGCUCUCGAUACAGAGAAAGGAGAAGAUUAACGGCGACGGGUGUGAAAUAUUCAAUAAUACCAUGAAAAUUAAUUGCGAAAAUAUUCUAUUGGAUGUCUAAAAUUCGCGUACAUAAUUAGAAUAGACGGUGUGUAACGUGGCACGGCUGCUUUUGCGAAAGUUAUCACAACGAAGACAGUGAUCAAAUUUUGAUCGAAUCCACGGACGAAAAAAAAAAAACUAAGAAAAGAGAAAAAAAAAAAUGGAAAAAAAAGGGAAAAAAAAAAAGAAUCGGCGGGACAGCAGCGCGAGCGGGAUUGCCCAAUCACAUAGACACGCGUAUACAUAAAUACGAGGUGUACAUGUGUAAGUGUGCGUCUCGAUCAUCGAAUGUAUUAAAUUUUAUGUAUCUGGGUAUUUGGGCAGUCUCUGUUUGGUAACCUUGGGCCCGAUUGUGGUGCCAGUGGCAGCGAUCAUCCCGAUUAUUCGGUUCAUUGCUAUGCCAUUACGAAUCCCGUGCGAUAUACGCGAAGGAGCAGCCUGACCGGGCGGUCACAAAUCGACGUCGAACGUUUCGCGUCUUUUUUUAAUACCAGUUGAAUUUUUGCGCAACACCGUGACUCUAGAUUCGUCGGAGCGAAUCGACAAAAGUUUUAGAUUUUCAUCGAUUUCAACGAUUCUGCAAGCCUGUAACAUUCACCGUAGGGCAAUGAGAUUCUGCAACGGAGUUUAGCUCGGAUUAGACUACUUCUCGCCGAGUCCUCGUAGAUAUAUGCAUAUCAUCCUCGGAAAACACGACAAGUUUCACGCACGCUGUCGGCCCACGUCACGCCCAUCGUGACGUGGGGUCGGACGGCAAAAGUAAAAGGAAAAGCAGAAGCGUCGAUCGAAUUCAACGACGAGAAUUCAUCUUCGAAAUUUUUCUAUCUACCGAUCGACCGUCCGGCGUACGACGCGCUGCGGCGCAGGGCGUAACGCCGCGGUCGAUUUUUCUUCCGAGCAAAACGGAGGGGCUCGGGUUGAUCCCAAGUGGUUUUUUUACAUACGAGUAUCAUGAGUCCGGUAUACUGAAAAUAAAUGUCGUGCGCGGAUCGUUAGCAGUUGGAAUCUGUGUUUCGGUGUUUCGAAGUCAAGGUUUUGUAGCAGGUUCGCCGUAUGUUGCUCUUGCUGCCGUUGAUGCUGCUGUUGCAGCGCAACUCGAUCGGCGGAAUGCUAAUGCACGAUCCCGCAGAUUCGGGAUGAUGCGAGAAGUGAGAAUACGCGUCGCUAAAGACCCGUCGCAGCCAACCGAUUCCCGCAACUUCGUCGGAACCCAACCUAACCUAACCCUCGGACGAAUCGCGAUCGAUUCGUAUACCCGCCCUCGCUUUCAAAUGAAAAACAAACGAUAUACGCAGAUCGCAGAUUCAACGCUCGAUAUCUCGAUUCGCUCGAGCGGAGAUCACGUCGUUUCGUCUUGAACGAAAGAUGUUUUCCAGAACCUUCUUUAUCAUGAUAACCCCGGAACAGAAAUCUGACGUCCGUCUUUAGGCUUCCAAAUUAAUUUUCCAAAUCAACAAAAUUUGUCAAUUUCAUAACAAACACCCGGAUCCACACACGUUUCGAAAAGAAAAGCAGGAAGAGAAUUUUCCUAACCCCCUGGAUAAUCAUGUCCUGCUGCCAUCAACCGGGAUCAGGUUGUCCCGCGAGACCGAGUCCUCCCGAAGGUUGCAGAUUCAGUUCUCCGUCAGUUCCGAACAAUUGUCCCGAAAAUUCGGCGAGAAGGGUCUGCAUCGUUCCCCCGAUAGACCAAAAACCUCAUCACAAACCUUGCUGCGUUAGAGCGUACGGGUCUCCCUGCGAAGUCCACCGCCAACCCCAUCGAACGAUCAGAUUCACCGACGCCGAUAUCGCCAUGCAAUAUUGAACAACGAACGAACAUGAUGGGGCGAAACGAUGCGAUUAAUCUGUCGCUGCUGCGAAUCAUUGAAUUCAUUUUGAAAAUGUUCGCCAUAAUCGCCGGGAACGAAAUACUCGUCAAAUUCAGCGUCGUCUGACGAAGGAUUUGUAUUGCGUUGCAUACUUUUUUAACGAUUUCAAGAAAAAUAAAUUUUUUUUUUCGA